UUGAGAACUUUUGCUACAUCGGUUUUACAUUUGUUAAACCGAUGUAGCACUCUCAAAAAUUAAUCUUGUGUUUCUUGGAAAACGUAAAAUGACCCGCGGAUGGAUAUGCGGUUUCAAAAUCAAGCCUGUUCUCUUCAUCAGUCCGUUGGCGCGGAGUCUGCCUGUUGGCUGAUCUACGAAAGAAUCUGGGUUUUGUCGCCUCAUUCGAGAACUCACCAGUGAAUACCUGCGUGCUCGCUCCGCCGAUUCCACUGCCUCCACUCCACCCUUCGAGCUUCCAGCUCUCUUCCAUUCCCACCUCGCAUUUACCUUCGGAACCGCUGCACACCCUCUCUCAGGAACCUGGCAUCUCACACCCACGCCUCGAAAGACCCGCACCGAAGCUUCAAGAGGAUCAGCGUGUGAAGAUCACUUUAUAAUGAUUUGAAAAAGGUUGCCAUGGCUACAGAAAUUGGAGGAGCAUC
Long non-coding RNA from Poeciliopsis prolifica (blackstripe livebearer), 464 nucleotides. RefSeq lists it as uncharacterized. Lineage: Eukaryota; Metazoa; Chordata; Actinopteri; Cyprinodontiformes; Poeciliidae. The record is from RefSeq and is a predicted model, not a curated record. The transcript has 4 exons.